AUGGUAGGAUAGAGGCCUACCAUGGUGGUAACGGGUAACGGGGUGUUAGGGCACGACACNGGAGAGGGAGCCUGAGAAACGGCUACCACAUCCAAGGAAGGCAGCAGGCGCGCAAAUUACCCAAUCCCGACACGGGGAGGUAGUGACAAUAAAUAACAAUACAGGGUUCUUUGAAUCUUGUAAUUGGAAUGAGUACAAUUUAAAUCUCUUAACGAGGAACAAUUGGAGGGCAAGUCUGGUGCCAGCAGCCGCGGUAAUUCCAGCUCCAAUAGCGUAUAUUAAAGUUGUUGCAGUUAAAAAGCUCGUAGUUGAAUUUCGGGAUCAAUACGUCGGUCGUGCUUUNGGGUACGUACCGGCGUCAUUGGUUUCUCCUUUCUGACGAACCAUGAUGUCAUUAAUUUGGUGUUAUGGGGAGUUAGGACUGUUACUUUGAAAAAAUUAGAGUGUUUAAAGCAGGCAUUAGCUUGAAUACAUUAGCAUGGAAUAAUGAAAUAGGACGUUCGAUCCUAUUUUGUUGGUUUCUAGGAUCAACGUAAUGAUUAAUAGGGAUAGUUGGGGGCAUUAGUAUUCAAUUGUCAGAGGUGAAAUUCUUGGAUUUAUUGAAGACUAACUACUGCGAAAGCAUUUGCCAAGGAUGUUUUCAUUAAUCAAGAACGAAAGUUAGGGGAUCGAAGACGAUCAGAUACCGUCGUAGUCUUAACCAUAAACUAUGCCGACUAGGGAUCGGAUGAUGUUAAUUUUUUAAUGACUCAUUCGGCGCCUUA
RNAcentral lists this ribosomal RNA (764 nucleotides) under uncultured Glomus. RNAcentral's name for it is "SSU rRNA". It matches the Rfam family "Eukaryotic small subunit ribosomal RNA", at positions 325 to 1090 of the family's 1831-position model. The record is from RNAcentral. Lineage: Eukaryota; Fungi; Glomeromycota; Glomeromycetes; Glomerales; Glomeraceae.